RNAcentral lists this transfer RNA (69 nucleotides) under Stenotrophomonas maltophilia. RNAcentral's name for it is "tRNA-Arg". The record is from RNAcentral. Lineage: Bacteria; Pseudomonadati; Pseudomonadota; Gammaproteobacteria; Lysobacterales; Lysobacteraceae.
GACGGAUAUAGCCGGAUCGUCCCCCUCCUAAGGGGAAGGUCGCCCGUUCGAAUCGGGCCGGGGUCACCA